Molecule: ribosomal RNA, 301 nt
Filed under: uncultured bacterium
Lineage: Bacteria
Description: partial 16S ribosomal RNA
Rfam family: Bacterial small subunit ribosomal RNA
Source: RNAcentral
CAGUAGCCGCGGUAAUACAGAGGAUGCAAGCGUUACUCGGAAUCACUGGGCGUAAAGGACGCGUAGGCGGAUUAUCAAGUCUCUUGUGAAAUCUAACGGCUUAACCGUUAAACUGCUUGGGAAACUGAUAAUCUAGAGUAAGGGAGAGGCAGAUGGAAUUCUUGGUGUAGGGGUAAAAUCCGUAGAUAUCAAGAAGAAUACCUAUUGCGAAGGCGAUCUGCUGGAACUUAACUGACGCUAAUGCGUGAAAGCGUGGGGAGCAAACAGGAUUAGAUACCCCCGUAGUCCCUGUCUCUUAUAC